This 253-nucleotide ribosomal RNA is filed under the name uncultured bacterium. RNAcentral describes it as "partial 16S ribosomal RNA". It matches the Rfam family "Bacterial small subunit ribosomal RNA", at positions 524 to 776 of the family's 1533-position model. The record is from RNAcentral.
UACGGAGGGUGCGAGCGUUGUCCGGAAUCACUGGGCGUACAGGGCGCGUAGGCGGCAUGCCAAGCGUGUGGUGAAAGCCCGGGGCUCAACCCCGGGUCGGCCGUGCGGACUGGCGUGCUCGAGCACUGUAGGGGCGGGUGGAAUUCCCGGUGUAGCGGUGGAAUGCGUAGAGAUCGGGAAGAACAUCAGUGGCGAAGGCGGCCUGCUGGGCUGUUGCUGACGCUGAGGCGCGACAGCGUGGGGAGCAAACAGG